This 327-nucleotide ribosomal RNA is filed under the name Candidatus Puniceispirillum sp. TMED245. Its description in RNAcentral is "bacterial SSU rRNA". It matches the Rfam family "Bacterial small subunit ribosomal RNA", at positions 1 to 357 of the family's 1533-position model. The record is from RNAcentral. Lineage: Bacteria; Pseudomonadati; Pseudomonadota; Alphaproteobacteria; Puniceispirillales (SeqCode); Puniceispirillaceae (SeqCode).
UAACCUAAGAGUUUGAUCCUGGCUCAGAACGAACGCUGGCGGCAUGCCUAACACAUGCAAGUCGAACGCUAUCUUGUAUAGAGUGGCGCACGGGUGAGUAACGCGUGGGAACCUACCUUUCUCUGCGGGACAACGGCUGGAAACGGCCGCUAAUACCGCAUACGCCCUACGGGGGAAAGGUCAGCCGGAGAAAGAGGGGCCCGCGUUAGAUUAGCUAGUUGGUGGGGUAAUGGCCUACCAAGGCGACGAUCUAUAGCUGGUCUGAGAGGAUGAUCAGCCACACUGGGACUGAGACACGGCCCAGACUCCUACGGGAGGCAGCAGUGG